AUUGAACGCUGGCGGCAUGCUUUACACAUGCAAGUCGAACGGCAGCACGGACUUCGGUCUGGUGGCGAGUGGCGAACGGGUGAGUAAUACAUCGGAACGUGCCCAGUUGUGGGGGAUAACUACUCGAAAGAGUAGCUAAUACCGCAUGAGAACUGAGGUUGAAAGCAGGGGAUCGUAAGACCUUGCGCAACUGGAGCGUCCGAUGGCAGAUUAGGUAGUUGGUGGGCUAAAAGCUUACCAAGCCGACGAUCCGUACCUGCUCUGAGAGGACUACCAGCCACACUGGGACUGAGACACGGCCCAGACUCCUACGGGAGGCAGCAGUGGGGAAUUUUGGACAAUGGGCGAAAGCCUGAUCCAGCAAUGCCGCGUGCAGGAUGAAGGCCUUCGGGUUGUAAACUGCUUUUGUACGGAACGAAAAGCUUCGGGUUAAUACCCUGGAGUCAUGACGGUACCGUAAGAAUAAGCACCGGCUAACUACGUGCCAGCAGCCGCCGUAA
This 500-nucleotide ribosomal RNA is filed under the name uncultured bacterium. Its description in RNAcentral is "partial 16S ribosomal RNA". It matches the Rfam family "Bacterial small subunit ribosomal RNA", at positions 30 to 523 of the family's 1533-position model. The record is from RNAcentral.